Molecule: ribosomal RNA, 497 nt
Filed under: uncultured bacterium
Lineage: Bacteria
Description: partial 16S ribosomal RNA
Rfam family: Bacterial small subunit ribosomal RNA
Source: RNAcentral
GAUGAACGCUGGCGGCGUGCCUAAUACAUGCAAGUCGAGCGAACAGACGAGGAGCAUGCUCCUCUGACGUUAGCGGCGGACGGGUGAGUAACACGUGGAUAACCUACCUAUAAGACUGGGAUAACUUCGGGAAACCGGAGCUAAUACCGGAUAAUAUAUUGAACCGCAUGGUUCAAUAGUGAAAGACGGUUUUGCUGUCACUUAUAGAUGGAUCCGCGCCGCAUUAGCUAGUUGGUAAGGUAACGGCUUACCAAGGCAACGAUGCGUAGCCGACCUGAGAGGGUGAUCGGCCACACUGGAACUGAGACACGGUCCAGACUCCUACGGGAGGCAGCAGUAGGGAAUCUUCCGCAAUGGGCGAAAGCCUGACGGAGCAACGCCGCGUGAGUGAUGAAGGUCUUCGGAUCGUAAAACUCUGUUAUUAGGGAAGAACAAAUGUGUAAGUAACUAUGCACGUCUUGACGGUACCUAAUCAGAAAGCCACGGCUAACUACGUG